CCAAACUUGGUCAUUUAGAGGAAGUAAAAGUCGUAACAAGGUUUCCGUAGGUGAACCUGCGGAAGGAUCAUUAUUGAAUAAACUUGGUUUUAGGCUGUUGCUGGCUCUUCGGAGCAUGUGCACGUCUAUUCCAUCUUUAUAACCACCUGUGAACCUUGUGUAGAUCUUGAACGAUACUCGAGUGUGUUACAACCUCGGUUUUAGAAAUUGCUGGAGAAUGCCGGCUUUCUCUGUUUGUUCAGAUCUAUUUUUCAAUAUACUCCAUAUAAAAGUAUCAGAAUGUUAAUAAGUUAGGCAUUCGUGCCUCUAAACAAAUAUACAACUUUCAACAACGGAUCUCUUGGCUCUCGCAUCGAUGAAGAACGCAGC
This 369-nucleotide unclassified non-coding RNA is filed under the name uncultured fungus. Its description in RNAcentral is "partial contains small subunit ribosomal RNA, internal transcribed spacer 1, and 5.8S ribosomal RNA". The stretch from base 1 to 73 matches the Rfam family "Eukaryotic small subunit ribosomal RNA", at positions 1759 to 1831 of the family's 1831-position model. The record is from RNAcentral. Lineage: Eukaryota; Fungi.